CACAAACUUGUGCCACAAGUUUGACAAAUGUCUGCAAAAUUUCGGUAGUUAUGUGGAAAAGUAGUUUAAGAGUUGUAGAAUUUUGUGCAAUAAAUAACUUUUUUGUAUCUGUACACAAUUUAAUUUUAUUACCAAACGGAACUUACUUUCUGGACCUACCACGUAUUAUUAUAGUUCUA
This is a long non-coding RNA of Nilaparvata lugens (brown planthopper), 179 nucleotides long. RefSeq lists it as uncharacterized. The transcript is spliced from 3 exons. NCBI's taxonomy places the organism in Eukaryota, Metazoa, Arthropoda, Insecta, Hemiptera, Delphacidae. The record is from RefSeq and is a predicted model, not a curated record.